GACGAACGCUGGCGGCGUGCCUAAUACAUGCAAGUCGAACGCAGUGGGGACGGGUGAGUAACACGUGGGUAACCUCCCAUCAGAGGGGAAAACACUUGGAAACAGGUGCUAAACCGAUACUGAUGGAUGGACCCGCGGGUCAUUAGCUAUUUGGGGAGGGAACGGCUCACCAAGGCCACGAUGCAUAGCCGACCUUAGGGGGUGAUCUGCACCACUGGAACUGAGACACGGCCCAGACUCCUACGGGAGGCAGCAGUAGGGAAUCUUCGGCAAUGGACGAAGGUCUGACCGAGCAACGCCGGGUGAGUGAAGGAGGUUUUCGGAUCGUAAAACUCUGUUGUUUGAGAGGCGGUAUCUAACCAGAAAGCCACGGCUAACUACGUGCCAGCCGCCGCGGUAAUUC
RNAcentral lists this ribosomal RNA (403 nucleotides) under uncultured bacterium. RNAcentral's name for it is "partial 16S ribosomal RNA". It matches the Rfam family "Bacterial small subunit ribosomal RNA", at positions 28 to 526 of the family's 1533-position model. The record is from RNAcentral.